This is a long non-coding RNA of Cloeon dipterum, 1269 nucleotides long. RefSeq lists it as uncharacterized. Lineage: Eukaryota; Metazoa; Arthropoda; Insecta; Ephemeroptera; Baetidae. The transcript has 3 exons. The record is from RefSeq and is a predicted model, not a curated record.
UCUUUUUUCACGCGGUAGUGCGUGCAUCUGAAAUCGCUCCCAACAUCGAGGGAUUGAUUUUAACAAGCAAACUAUAGCUCGAUACAACAGAUAUCCUGAUUUUUUAUAUGGACUCCGAGUUUCUGCAGGCGCUCAGUAAAUUUUCACAACUCAAACUUCGAUCUCCAAAUAGACGAAUUAUGCUGCAUUGAUGGACUUCGAAAGCCUUUUCCAACUUUGCGAGCAUCUUUCAAGACUUAAAAUAUUUAAGCGUUUGUUUCGCUAAUGGCUUUGCUGAUAUUGAUUUUGAAGAGCAAAAUAUUGCUAAAAAAUGAAAAAGAGCAUGUCAAACCUGCAAGUGUUUCUUUACAACGCAUCUGCUGAGUAUCACUUGAGGAGGCGAUUGUGCAUGGACCCUCUGCCAAACUUAGAAGUCGCAUUGAAGAAUUUGCAAGUUAAUUCUGCUUGAUGCAAGACUUCAUCCCCUUUGCACUUGACCAGAUUAGCUAUGAAACUUCAAAUUUGCGCCACUUGCUGGUAGAUUUUGGCCAAGAAGAAACAACAAGUUAAAACGUGCAUCUGACACAUUCUCUUGUCAGUCAUUUAUGGGUCUUCUGGUAUGCAGAAUGGGUUCGCGAUGAAAGCUAGUGGCAACCGUUGCGCUUAAAUUCUCUAAUAUCGAGAGUCUUUCGUUAGGAGAUUUUCCUCUACAUGUUCUGAACCGCUUCUUGGACAACUAUGGAUCAAAUCUUCGUAAACUUUCUUUAUUUCAUAAACUUGUGGAGUGCAGAUGACUUUCAAGGAAAUAUUUGCUGCCUGUCCAAGAUUAAGCAAACUCGAGUUGGCCACGAUCAUCAAUGACCCAGAGCCCAUCACUUUCUUCGCUUGCCCUAUGGAAAUUGAAAUAUAUUUUAAGAGCUCCUACGAAAGCAAAGAUGAGCUGUCAAAUAUACUGAGUGCACCUGACCUAAAUAAAGUUACAUUAUUCGGUAAUUUUGACGUCAAGAGCCUCAAGAAAGUGACAUCUUUAAUUUUAAAAAAGGAAAUUCUGCACCAGCUCCAAACUCUUAUCAUAGAAAUGAGAAUUAAUAAUUCGGAAACACUCGUUUCGUUGAUGCGGAACGUAUCAAAGAAACCAUGGAGUUGACAAAGUGCGCCGCUGCCAAUCUACAAAAUAUCAGUAGCUGUGUUAAAUUCUACUUGAAUUCGCGUAAAUGUGAAUAUAGUGUGUUGGCAAAAAGCCUGAGAGUCUGAGAGGUGGAAAAAUUGUCAACGAAGCUAUGCCUGAUA